AUAUGGUAAAGAAAGAUAUAUUUAAUUUCUUGAAACUAAGUAAAGACUAAACUAAAAACUAGGUUAAUUAAAUAUGAGAUGCUAAACAUUUUUGGAGAGGCCGAAAACAGGACUAGCCAUGUACCCUUCGAUUCUGCAACUUAGCUCAAGCGAGUAUGGACCUGAAACUUGAGACCAGUAGUGACCAAUUUGCUUAACCGGCUUCAUACCCCAACCAACUACCCCACAACCACCAUAAAGACCACGAGGAUAC
This 253-nucleotide long non-coding RNA is filed under the name Brassica rapa (field mustard). RNAcentral's name for it is "long non-coding RNA (BRAP_LNC005727)". Lineage: Eukaryota; Viridiplantae; Streptophyta; Magnoliopsida; Brassicales; Brassicaceae. The record is from RNAcentral.